UACGUAGGGGGCGAGCGUUGUCCGGAUUUAUUGGGCGUAAAGAGCGUGUAGGCGGCCAGGUAGGUCCGUUGUGAAAACUCGAGGCUCAACCUCGAGACGUCGGCGGAAACCAUCUGGCUAGAGUCCGGAAGAGGAGAGUGGAAUUCCUGGUGUAGCGGUGAAAUGCGCAGAUAUCAGGAAGAACACCCGUGGCGAAGGCGGCUCUCUGGGACGGUACUGACGCUGAGACGCGAAAGCGUGGGGAGCGAACAGG
RNAcentral lists this ribosomal RNA (253 nucleotides) under uncultured bacterium. RNAcentral's name for it is "partial 16S ribosomal RNA". It matches the Rfam family "Bacterial small subunit ribosomal RNA", at positions 524 to 776 of the family's 1533-position model. The record is from RNAcentral.